RNAcentral lists this transfer RNA (66 nucleotides) under Staphylinoidea sp. 15 KM-2017. RNAcentral's name for it is "tRNA-Glu". Lineage: Eukaryota; Metazoa; Arthropoda; Insecta; Coleoptera. The record is from RNAcentral.
UUUUAUAUAGUUUAAAUAAAACAUUAUUUUUUCAUAAUAAAAUUAAUAUACUUAUAUUUAUAAAUA